RNAcentral lists this long non-coding RNA (591 nucleotides) under Strigops habroptila (Kakapo). Its description in RNAcentral is "lncRNA (ENSSHBG00005001043.1)". Lineage: Eukaryota; Metazoa; Chordata; Aves; Psittaciformes; Psittacidae. The record is from RNAcentral.
AACUGUUAGGAUUAUCAUUAAAAUUUAUUAGGAGAGAAAUAGAGACCAAAAGAGAAAGAAUAAACAUGCCAUUGUAUGGCCUCUUGCACCGGCAUCUUCAAUUCCCCAUGCAGUUCUGGUAUUCUCAUCUCAGAAAUAAGACAGUAGAACUGGAGCAUGGCUAACUCAGUUGGGUCUCUUCGGUCUGCAGAUCAUAAUGCAAUUCAGGUUAGAAUGGACCAUGGGAGGUCUCUUCUCCAACCUCCUCCUCAAAGCAGGGUCAGCUCUGAGGUCAGACCAGGUUGCUCAAGAUGUUUUCUAGUCAGGGCUUGAAAAUCUCCAAGAAUGGAGUUUGCACAACCUCCUCGGGCAACCUGCUCCACUGUUUGGUGUUUUCACUGUGAAAAAGUUUGUCUUUAUAUCUAGUCAGAACCUCUUGUGUUUCAGCUGAUGCUUGUUGUGUCCAGCACCACGGACUCCAGCAAGGAGCCUGGCUCCAUCUUCUUGGUGACCUCCUCAUAGCCGUUACCUGCGGCGGCGUCGCGCCGCCCGCCCCGAUGCGCAGCCGAGGCGCCCGCACCCGGCCCGGCGCAGGUAGGCGGCGGGGUCGCG